This 564-nucleotide long non-coding RNA is filed under the name Durio zibethinus. RNAcentral describes it as "long non-coding RNA (DZIB_LNC002339)". The record is from RNAcentral. Lineage: Eukaryota; Viridiplantae; Streptophyta; Magnoliopsida; Malvales; Malvaceae.
AAAAAUGCCGAGGGAUCAGUUGGUAGGUCUUGGUGGCAGUGGUCCUGGAGGGGAAGCAGGGUUCGUGAUGCAUAGCUCUGCUGGCCUUCUCUUGCUUUCCAUGAUUAUUUUCUCCCUAUCAAUUAUCUCAAUGGUCAUUUUCGCUUGUGGUGAUGACAACUCUGGAGAGCCUAGCGAAAGAACUGCUGCUUCUGCUGCAGCUGCUGCUGCUGCUGGUGAAGCUGUUGGUGCUGCUGUUGCUGCUGUUGCUGAUGCUGGUGGAGGAGGCGGCGGCGGUGGAGGUUGCGGGGGAGGGGGUGGAGGUGGAGGUUGCUGAUGCCGAGGAUAUCUGAAUUCCUGUGUUUCUGUUAAUAGUUUCGCCAAUAAUGAUAAUUUAUAAGUCACUAUGCAUUUUACAACAGAAUAUUUUUCUGAAAAGCUGGUUUGCUCAUACAGAUACAAAGUAGUAAGCUACAUGUUGCAACAUAUCCCCUACCUUGUUUUAGUAUUUCAAUUUUGUCAUCAACAACUAAAAAAAUUUACCCAACUUCGCUUGAGUUAUAAUUUUAUUCGGUAUGAACAAGC